Molecule: ribosomal RNA, 433 nt
Filed under: uncultured bacterium
Lineage: Bacteria
Description: partial 16S ribosomal RNA
Rfam family: Bacterial small subunit ribosomal RNA
Source: RNAcentral
AACGAACGCUGGCGGCAUGCCUAACACAUGCAAGUCGAACGAGACCUUCGGGUCUUGUGGCGCACGGGUGCGUAACGCGUGGGAACCUUCCCUUAGGUUCGGAAUAACUCCCCGAAAGGGGUGCUAAUACCGGAUAAUGUCUUCGGACCAAAGAUUUAUUGCCUUUGGAUGGUCCCGCGUUGGAUUAGCUAGUUGGUAGGGUAAAAGCCUACCACGGCGACGAUCCAUAGCUGGUUUGAGAGGAUGAUCAGCCACACUGGGACUGAGACACGGCCCAGACUCCUACGGGAGGCAGCAGUGGGGAAUAUUGGACAAUGGGCGAAAGCCUGAUCCAGCAAUGCCGCGUGAGUGAUGAAGGCCGUAGGGUUGUAAAGCUCUUUUACCCGGGAUGAUAAUGACAGUACCGGGAGAAUAAGCGCCGGCUAACUCCGUG